Elgaria multicarinata webbii is the source of this 1931-nucleotide long non-coding RNA. RefSeq lists it as uncharacterized. Lineage: Eukaryota; Metazoa; Chordata; Lepidosauria; Squamata; Anguidae. The record is from RefSeq and is a predicted model, not a curated record. The transcript is spliced from 5 exons.
UGAGUGUGGCUGUAUCGUGCCUGCUGCUGGGCCUACUAAGUGGGGAACCGGCCAUUCUCUGGGAAGUGCGGGGAGGGCGAACAGGCGAGAAUGGCUAUGUCCAAGAUGAAACGGGGGGAACGGGAGGAAACGUUUGUAGCUUGCAUGGAAAGGAGAGGUGGCCGUAAAACGCAGAGACCCGUCGCUCCUCACACGGUAUGGUCAUGGCUCAGCUUCAAGCCAUAUCUUGCCUACUUACAAGCAUGGCCUUCCAUAAUGUAUUCUGUAGUUGAAUAAAUUGGAAGUAAUGGCUGAAUGAAGGCUAUCCAUUUUGGUAGACGCAGAUGUCUGGAUGCUUAUCAAGAGCUUUGAGAAGUGUCACUGACAUGACUAUUCCUUGAAAAACCAAGCACCUGGGUUGAUGGAUCUGGGCCACAAAAGACUGGAAGUGGAGGACUCUGGCAGCGGUAUCCAUUUAUUCCUGUAGAAAUUAGAAACGUGGAGCUCAUUGUCUUGCUUGCUCAAAAGGCAUAGGAGAAGAGAAAGAGCCAGUCUAAAGAUUUUGAAGUUCAAAGGAACCUGAUUCUGAAAGAAAGUACACUUUAUUGAAAGCAAAAUGGUGAGAUCAACUUUUAACAUGUGGAAGCAUUUACAUACUGCAAGAUAUUCUGAGGGAAAAAAGUGGUUCGCAAAUACUGUCAAAUGUUAAAGAUACAGUAUUUCCUAUUCCUACUAGGAUGACCAAAUUCAAUUCAUCCUUGUCAAUAUGACACUUCCUAGAUACAUUACAAAAUGUUAAGUGAGGAGGACCAGUGCAGUUUUCGCUACCCAAUUUUCUCGAUCCAGAAGUCAUGCUGCUGCUUCUGUUACAUCAGCAUCAUCACAAACGGUUGGUCGGUCAACAUCCUCAAGUAAUCUAAGUAUUGCAAACAUCUUGUAUACAAAGCCCUCAAUAGCGUCAUCUGUAUAGGGGAUGGCACCUGGAGAUCAGGAAAAAAUGAACAAGUUCUUGAAAAACUGAUGUUCUACUGGAAUGCCAUUGUCAACAACUGAAAUUUUGUAUGUUUGAAGCUUUUAAAUUGCCAAGUCCAUCAUUCCAUUUGCCCAAGAGAAUUUUUUUGAGCAAGCCAGAAUAUGAAUGGGUAGUAUAAUCCAUGCAAGCUAACACCAGCAAAGCACUUGGUCUUGCAGUACUUACCAGAUGAAUGGACAAAUGUGCAAGGAGGAACUCUGUUUGCAUGAUUACAGUGGCUGGAACAAGCCACUAUGGCUUGUUGCAGCUACUACUGCACAUGCUGGCCAAAUGUCUCUUUAUUGCCCACACUGGGCAGCAUGGCUUAUUUGGGGUGGGCAACAACCCUCAAAUAUGCAAACAACAGUCCAUGGGUUAUUUGAGGGUUGCUGCCAUACCACCCAGGUUCUGAUGAUAUAACAAGUGCCAGUUUGGGUAAUUAGGGAAAUGUGGCCAGCACAGACAGUGGCUUGUUUGAACGGAAACUGGGCCUUAGUUUUUUUAAUGGAAACAUUGAACCAGGAGAGAACAGUCUUACUGCAGAGUAUAUCAGUUGUAAAAUAUGUGAAGGCCAUAGAGAUGGAUAGGAGUGGUGAAGCGUUUGCUUUGCUGAUUGGCAGUGCAAGUAACGUUAAAGCAGAAUUGGAGAACAUAAUGGAUAAAUAUCCACAUAUUACUGCAAUAAAUGAUCUCCUUUGGAAGUACUAAAACAAUACAAAGAAACUCUUGGAGAAACAUUAACAGCUGAGGAUCUUAAAGUACCUGGAAAUGUAAGAAACACUGCUUGAUGAGGAUGUCUUCUGGGUUCAGCUGCAAAAGUCCCUGAAGAUCCUAAAACCAUUUUCUUCUGCAAUUGCUGCAUCUGAAUUGGACAGUGCAGUUUUGCCAGACGUUCUUUACCAAAUGGCCAAGAUAAAAUCAAUGUGUAUUUGAGAAUUUA